AAUGCGGACCGGCGACGGCGAGNGACCCCAAAAAUAAAGCCCCAGUUCGGAUUGUAGUCUGCAACCCGACUACAUGAAGCUGGAAUCGCUAGUAAUCGCGGAUCAGAACGCCGCGGUGAAUACGUUCCCGGGUCUUGUACACACCGCCCGUCACACCAUGGAAGUCUGCAAUGCCCGAAGCCGGUGGCCUAACCACUUAUGUGGAAGGAGCCGUCUAAGGCAGGGCAGAUGACUGGGGUGAAGUCGUAACAAGGUACC
Molecule: ribosomal RNA, 258 nt
Filed under: uncultured bacterium
Lineage: Bacteria
Description: partial 16S ribosomal RNA
Rfam family: Bacterial small subunit ribosomal RNA
Source: RNAcentral